Sander lucioperca (pikeperch) is the source of this 154-nucleotide long non-coding RNA. RefSeq lists it as uncharacterized. NCBI's taxonomy places the organism in Eukaryota, Metazoa, Chordata, Actinopteri, Perciformes, Percidae. The transcript has 3 exons. The record is from RefSeq and is a predicted model, not a curated record.
ACCCCGGCUCGCUGGUUUUGAGCCGGGCUUCUUACCCAUUUAAAGUUUGAGAAUAGGUUGAGAUCGUUUUGGCCCCAAGACCUCUAAUCAUUCGCUUUACCAGAUAAAACUGCUAGACUCUGAGCGCCAGCUAUCCUGAGGGAAACUUUGGAGG